AUCCAUGAUGAUGCCAGCAGUGAGCAAGGA
RNAcentral lists this non-coding RNA (30 nucleotides) under Rattus norvegicus (Norway rat). The record is from RNAcentral. Lineage: Eukaryota; Metazoa; Chordata; Mammalia; Rodentia; Muridae.